GCUCCGGUAGCUCAGUGGCUAGAGCACACGGCUGUUAACCGUGGGGUCGUAGGUUCGAAUCCUAUCCGGAGCG
RNAcentral lists this transfer RNA (73 nucleotides) under Candidatus Pacearchaeota archaeon. RNAcentral's name for it is "tRNA-Asn". It matches the Rfam family "tRNA". From Rfam's summary of the family: Transfer RNA (tRNA) molecules are approximately 80 nucleotides in length. The record is from RNAcentral. Lineage: Archaea; Nanobdellati.